AUACGGCCAUAUAACGUUGAAACAUCAGUUCUCGUACGAUCAUCCAAGUUAAGCAACGAUGAUCCUGGUCAGUACCUAGAUGGGUGACCGCUUGGGAAUAUAAGGUG
This is a non-coding RNA of Acanthosepion pharaonis, 107 nucleotides long. The record is from the annotation of a GenBank genome assembly. NCBI's taxonomy places the organism in Eukaryota, Metazoa, Mollusca, Cephalopoda, Sepiida, Sepiidae.